This 105-nucleotide non-coding RNA is filed under the name Yersinia canariae. RNAcentral's name for it is "antisense sRNA RprA". It matches the Rfam family "RprA RNA". Rfam says of the family: Translational regulation of the stationary phase sigma factor RpoS is mediated by the formation of a double-stranded RNA stem-loop structure in the upstream region of the rpoS messenger RNA, occluding the translation initiation site. Clones carrying rprA (RpoS regulator RNA A) increased the translation of RpoS. The rprA gene encodes a 106 nucleotide regulatory RNA. The record is from RNAcentral. Lineage: Bacteria; Pseudomonadati; Pseudomonadota; Gammaproteobacteria; Enterobacterales; Yersiniaceae.
AUUUAAAUAAAUCAUCUAAUAAUGACUUAUUUAAAUAUCUGCAAUCAAAUACACGUAUUGCUGUGUGUAGUCUUUGCCUGUCACCUAAGACGGGCUUUUUUUUUA